Molecule: non-coding RNA, 266 nt
Organism: Phascolarctos cinereus (koala)
Lineage: Eukaryota; Metazoa; Chordata; Mammalia; Diprotodontia; Phascolarctidae
Source: RefSeq, a predicted model, not a curated record
AGGUAGAAACACUCCCUUCAAGACUUCUAAGCAAUCAAACACAAAUCACAAGAACAAAGGACUGGUGUUCAAUAAAUUAUCCUGUCACUGCCCUUACUUCAUCCCACAGAACAGAGAAGAAAUGAAUUGGUUUUUUUUGAACUGCUUCUGGUCCAUAGCUUUGUGUGUUCUAAGAACUCUCUCAUUGGCCAGGUUCUGCAGCUCCAGAAUUUGUUUUAGAGAAUUAUUUGAAGGUGUUCCAAAGGGUUUGAGGACAGCUCAGGUAA